This is a long non-coding RNA of Pseudopipra pipra, 1338 nucleotides long. RefSeq lists it as uncharacterized. NCBI's taxonomy places the organism in Eukaryota, Metazoa, Chordata, Aves, Passeriformes, Pipridae. The record is from RefSeq and is a predicted model, not a curated record. The transcript has 5 exons.
GAAGGUGGGAGGGAGGUCCCCAGUUGUCUGGUGAAGGGUAGGGACAGUCACAUGUGCCAUGCAGCCUCUGUCGGCACCUAAACUUGGCCUGGGGGGUGGCCUCCCACAGUGCUGGCAACACAGGUGUCAGACAACCAGGAACACUUUAUUUGUGAGAAACAGGCAUUACUGAAAAGCUUGAAAAACAGGAAGGAGCUGAAGCUCCCAGACUCCCUGUUCGUGCACCUCCUUGGUAUAAGUGACAUUUUCUCCUGCUGAAACACUAAAACUGACAGUGUCAGCAGCUCUGGAGCUGGGGAUGAGACUUGCCAAUUGUGUCAGAAGCAAAAGUCCCUUCUCUGCAUAUCCAAAGUGACCUGGUGUUUAAGCCAUUAACCAAUUUCAGUCUCUCACACCUGGAAAAGUUAAUACACAGCAGGACAUGCAGAGCUUACAAACCAGUAGGGCUAGCUAAUACUACAGACAAAAUAAAUUGAAAUACAGCAGCAAAACCAACUGUCUUCCAAACAAGGCAGAUGCUACAAAGUGUUGUUAAGGAAAGUUUCUUGUGCAAUCGUACAAACAAAGGUUUUAGGGUGGGUGGCAUGUUGUAUAGUACUCCUCUGGGUCAUAUAUCAUUAAAACUCCCAAAAGUCUGGGGAGAUGACAAAGUGGGAUUUGCACUUUCACUAGAGAAUUGCAGUCAUGAUAUUGUCCUCCUCACUUCUUUGGCAGAUGAUCAAUGCUGACAUUCCAGCAUCACUGAACUCUUUGAACCCAAAGACCUCAGCUAGGACUGGAAAAGGAUUGUAAAAGAUCUCUUGAACUUUUCCUUCAUAUUCUCAUCCACACACACUACCCUGUGAUUCUCAAAUAGGCAUAGCUUGUAAGAGAAAAAUAUGUGCUGGAUUGCUUGUACAGAGCAUUUGCUGCUGUAAUGCCACUUACUUGGAUGGAGAUAAAAUCCCAAUGAGCUGAGGCAGUGGUGGGAGUUGUAAUUUGAAACAGACAGCAACAGGACAGCACGAGAGUACAGUGGUCACAUUUCUUCCACAUAGAGGUAUCCUAGAAAAGCUGGUAGCCUGUGACGUGCUUGCUAGGGAAAAGAGGUAGAGAAGAGACUGAAUCCAGAUCUCAAAGCUGUUUUAGUUUUGAAGUAGGAUUUGCAAAUGCACUAGUAAGCUUACACAAGCUAGAAAAUAUAAAUGUAUAUGUGCCAUACAUGUUAUGGAGCUAGACUGCUCUGGUCUGUCAGCAGCUUGCUCUGACAUUUUUCUACCAGUGUUGACAGCUUAUGACAUACUGUACCAACACAAGGUACAUUAUUAAUAGCUUGAAAGAAAGAAAUGGUCAAAAAGA